AUCUCUCAACACAAGAAAUUCACUUCUUGUGCUUGGAUAUUGAAGGUUUUGCUGGCGCAAAUAACUGUCAGCUCCUUUUAAAUGUAUUAGCAGAGCAGUGUUAGGACUGGCCUCAGUUUGAUAAGAAGUUAUCUAUGCUGUCGCUGGGUUUCCUCUUUGCUUAGCUUCAAAUUGUCUUUGGACUGCCUUUCAAGGCAAUAAAUCUUUGUU
This 210-nucleotide unclassified non-coding RNA is filed under the name uncultured Clavaria. RNAcentral describes it as "partial internal transcribed spacer 2". The record is from RNAcentral. Lineage: Eukaryota; Fungi; Basidiomycota; Agaricomycetes; Agaricales; Clavariaceae.